RNAcentral lists this ribosomal RNA (422 nucleotides) under uncultured bacterium. RNAcentral describes it as "partial 16S ribosomal RNA". It matches the Rfam family "Bacterial small subunit ribosomal RNA", at positions 360 to 774 of the family's 1533-position model. The record is from RNAcentral.
AAUUUUGGACAAGGGGUGAAGCGGUGACCCAGUCAUCCCGCGUGAAUGAUGAAGGCCUUCGGGAUGUAAAGUACUUUUGGUAGAGAAGAAAAGGUAUCUCCUAAUACGAGAUACUGCUGACGGUAUCUGCAGAAUAAGCAUCGGCUAACUACGUGCCAGCAGCUGCGGUAAUACGUAGGGUGCAAGCAUUAAUCGGAAUUACUGGGCGUAAAGCGUGUGUAGGCGGUUCGGAAAGAAAGAUGUGAAAUCCCAGGGCUCAACCUUGGAACUGCAUUUUUAACUGCCGAGCUAGAGUAUGUCAGAGGGGGGUAGAAUUCCACGUGUAGUAGUGAAAUGCGUAGAUAUGUGGAGGAAUACCGAUGGCGAAGGCAGCCCCCUGGGAUAAUACUGACGCUCAGACACGAAAGCGUGGGGAGCAAACA